RNAcentral lists this ribosomal RNA (1093 nucleotides) under Cladosporium cladosporioides. RNAcentral's name for it is "eukaryotic LSU rRNA". The stretch from base 491 to 1093 matches the Rfam family "Eukaryotic large subunit ribosomal RNA", at positions 1 to 525 of the family's 3401-position model. The record is from RNAcentral. Lineage: Eukaryota; Fungi; Ascomycota; Dothideomycetes; Cladosporiales; Cladosporiaceae.
AGGUGACCUGCGGAGGGAUCAUUACAAGUGACCCCGGUCUAACCACCGGGAUGUUCAUAACCCUUUGUUGUCCGACUCUGUUGCCUCCGGGGCGACCCUGCCUUCGGGCGGGGGCUCCGGGUGGACACUUCAAACUCUUGCGUAACUUUGCAGUCUGAGUAAACUUAAUUAAUAAAUUAAAACUUUUAACAACGGAUCUCUUGGUUCUGGCAUCGAUGAAGAACGCAGCGAAAUGCGAUAAGUAAUGUGAAUUGCAGAAUUCAGUGAAUCAUCGAAUCUUUGAACGCACAUUGCGCCCCCUGGUAUUCCGGGGGGCAUGCCUGUUCGAGCGUCAUUUCACCACUCAAAGCCUCGCUUGGUAUUGGGCAACGCGGUCCGCCGCGUGCCUCAAAAUCGACCGGCUGGGUCUUCUGUCCCCUAAGCGUUGUGGAAACUAUUCGCUAAAGGGUGUUCGGGAGGCUACGCCGUAAAACAACCCCAUUUCUAAGGUUGACCUCGGAUCAGGUAGGGAUACCCGCUGAACUUAAGCAUAUCAAUAAGCGGAGGAAAAGAAACCAACAGGGAUUGCUCUAGUAACGGCGAGUGAAGCAGCAAUAGCUCAAAUUUGAAAUCUGGCGUCUUCGACGUCCGAGUUGUAAUUUGUAGAGGAUGCUUCUGAGUAACCACCGACCUAAGUUCCUUGGAACAGGACGUCAUAGAGGGUGAGAAUCCCGUAUGCGGUCGGAAAGGUGCUCUACACGUAGCUCCUUCGACGAGUCGAGUUGUUUGGGAAUGCAGCUCUAAAUGGGAGGUAAAUUUCUUCUAAAGCUAAAUAUUGGCCAGAGACCGAUAGCGCACAAGUAGAGUGAUCGAAAGAUGAAAAGCACUUUGGAAAGAGAGUUAAAAAGCACGUGAAAUUGUUAAAAGGGAAGGGAUUGCAACCAGACUUGCUCGCGGUGUUCCGCCGGUCUUCUGACCGGUCUACUCGCCGCGUUGCAGGCCAGCAUCGUCUGGUGCCGCUGGAUAAGACUUGAGGAAUGUAGCUCCCUCGGGAGUGUUAUAGCCUCUUGUGAUGCAGCGAGCGCCGGGCGAGGUCCGCGCUCGGCUAGGAUGC